AUUGAACGCUGGCGGCAGGCCUAACACAUGCAAGUCGAACGAGUGGCGGACGGGUGAGUAAUGUCUGGGAAACUGCCCGAUGGAGGGGGAUAACUACUGGAAACGGUAGCUAAUACCGCAUACUAUCGGAUGUGCCCCGAUGGGAUUGGCUUGUAGGUGAGGUAACGGCUCACCUAGGCGACGAUCCCUAGCUGGUCUGAGAGGAUGACAAGCCAAACGGGAAAGGAGACACGGUCCAGACUCCGACGGGAGGCAGAAGUGGGGAAUAUGGCACAAUGGGCGCAAGCCGGAUGCAGCCAUGCCGCGUGGAUGAAGAAGGCAUUCGUGUUGUAAAGUACUUUCAGCGGGGAGGCGUUACCCGAAGAAGAAGCACCGGCUAACUCCGUGCCAGCAGCCGCGGGAAUAC
This 406-nucleotide ribosomal RNA is filed under the name uncultured bacterium. RNAcentral describes it as "partial 16S ribosomal RNA". It matches the Rfam family "Bacterial small subunit ribosomal RNA", at positions 29 to 526 of the family's 1533-position model. The record is from RNAcentral.